GAUGAACGCUGGCGGCGUGCCUAAUACAUGCAAGUCGAGCGAACGGACGAGAAGCUUGCUUUUCUGAUGUUAGCGGCGGACGGGUGAGUAACACGUGGAUAACCUACCUAUAAGACUGGGAUAACUUCGGGAAACCGGAGCUAAUACCGGAUAAUAUUUUGAACCGCAUGGUUCAAAAGUGAAAGACGGUCUUGCUGUCACUUAUAGAUGGAUCCGCGCUGCAUUAGCUAGUUGGUAAGGUAACGGCUUACCAAGGCAACGAUGCAUAGCCGACCUGAGAGGGUGAUCGGCCACACUGGAACUGAGACACGGUCCAGACUCCUACGGGAGGCAGCAGUAGGGAAUCUUCCGCAAUGGGCGAAAGCCUGACGGAGCAAAGUCGCGUGAGUGAUGAAGGUCUUCGGAUCGUAAAACUCUGUUAUUAGGGAAGAACAUAUGUGUAAGUAACUGUGCACAUCUUGACGGUACCUAAUCAGAAAGCCACGGCUAACUACGUG
This 497-nucleotide ribosomal RNA is filed under the name uncultured bacterium. RNAcentral describes it as "partial 16S ribosomal RNA". It matches the Rfam family "Bacterial small subunit ribosomal RNA", at positions 28 to 507 of the family's 1533-position model. The record is from RNAcentral.